UGGUUUAGUGACGUCGGGUUUAAAUCAAUCACGUGAGACUUUCGUUCGCCAAUCCUGGAUCACCACCCCAUGCUCUACCACCUGCUGCUGUGAAGCCUAUGGCGGCGCACAUAGCGAGCUUCCUGCACAGCGCAUGCGCAUUUCACCAGAGUCUGCCAGAAGCGAUGGUGGCCGGUAGGCCUAAUCCCCGGUUCACGAGGAAUUUUUCAUUAAAUCUUGGCAUGCCACAGCAGAACAGACCAAUAAAAAUAUGUUAUUCAGGGCUGCUUCUGCAAAACACACUACACAGCAAUGUGCUAAAGGAGGCUGCAAACAUUUUGGAAUCAUCAUUACUAAUGCAGGUACAUAACGAUGACCAAUCACUGACAGCUUUUCUGCAUUGUAUAAGCACAUAUAUUCUGGAGAUCCUCUCUUGAAAAUUUCUGCUAUGGACUCAUUCAUCACAACAACUUUGUAUUCGUGAGCUUUUUGUUUAUAUUCAGACAAUAAAGGCUAUUACGUAGUUCCACAAGGAUGACUUUUUUCAUAGAAACGUGCACUCUGGAUAUCCUGCUCAAUUAGUUGUCAAGGUCACAUGAGACCAUAAGUGAGCAAUGGCGCACAAGGAAAGAAAAAGCCUUGCUACAUUCCACAUGCUGACUCCACCAAUAUAUCUGAGGUGUCGUACUGCAGUACGUUUGAAUUGCACAGGAAUAAAGGGCAAUG
Long non-coding RNA from Ornithodoros turicata, 705 nucleotides. RefSeq lists it as uncharacterized. NCBI's taxonomy places the organism in Eukaryota, Metazoa, Arthropoda, Arachnida, Ixodida, Argasidae. The transcript is spliced from 3 exons. The record is from RefSeq and is a predicted model, not a curated record.